This 468-nucleotide ribosomal RNA is filed under the name uncultured bacterium. RNAcentral describes it as "partial 16S ribosomal RNA". It matches the Rfam family "Bacterial small subunit ribosomal RNA", at positions 28 to 507 of the family's 1533-position model. The record is from RNAcentral.
GACGAACGCUGGCGGCGUGCUUAACACAUGCAAGUCGAACGGAAAGGCCCUGCUUUUGUGGGGUGCUCGAUUGGCGAACGGGUGAGUAACACGUGAGUAACCUGCCCUUGACUUUGGGAUAACUUCAGGAAACUGGGGCUAAUACCGGAUAGGAGCUCCUGCUGCAUGGUGGGGGUUGGAAAGUUUCGGCGGUUGGGGAUGGACUCGCGGCUUAUCAGCUUGUUGGUGGGGUAGUGGCUUACCAAGGCUUUGACGGGUAGCCGGCCUGAGAGGGUGACCGGCGACAUUGGGACUGAGAUACGGCGCAGAAUCCUACGGGAGGCAGCAGUGGGGAGUAUUGCACAAUGGGCGGAAGCCUGAUGCAGCAGCGCCGCGUGCGGGAUGACGGGCUUCGGGGUGUAAACCGCUUUCGCCUGUGACGAAGCGUGAGUGACGGUAAUGGGUAAAGAAGCACCGGCUAACUACGUG